CGAGUUAGGGUCCUCAUCGGGCCCGACCUCCCAACCCAUUGUUUAUGAUACCUAGGUGUUGCUUCGGUAGGCCUGGUCUCUACCUGCUGGGGGGCCGUCACACGCCCGCCGGAGAGUGCCUGCCGACAGCCUAAACCUCAAAAUCUUUAACCAAACGUGUCUUUGUCUGAGUAAACGUCUUUAAUAAAAGCAAAACUUUCAACAACGGAUCUCUUGGUUCUGGCAUCGA
Molecule: unclassified non-coding RNA, 229 nt
Filed under: Rhinocladiella similis
Lineage: Eukaryota; Fungi; Ascomycota; Eurotiomycetes; Chaetothyriales; Herpotrichiellaceae
Description: sequence contains ITS1
Source: RNAcentral